GGCUGCAUGACCUAUUCUUUAUUGACCAUCUUCCUUAUCCUUUUUCUCUGCCUAUUAAGUUGAAUUCAAUUUUAUUUCAUUUUUUCCUGGCCAGCCCGGCCUAGGGCUACACCCUCUAGGAAGUAUCAGAGAACUGAACUCGGUCUAGGCAGCUGUGCUGAAUUUUGUGGUGAGUCAGGAAUGUUCUCUCAGGAUGAGAGUUACAGUGAUUUGGCUCGACACAGGUUAUUCGUUUACCAAUCCUGGCCUGUCUGAAAGCCUGCUGUGUGACUUUUGGCAUUUCUAUGUUUCAUCCUUGACCUAUUGAUGAUGUAAAAUAUAACACAAAAAAGAUAAAAGUCAUCUCCAUCAAAUCGAGCCAAAUAAAAUUUUCACAAGAUGCUGAGAACAGAUUUUGUGAAGAGGAAGAACUUCAGUUUCUUGGAUACCUGGAAAAGUGACAUAGAAAAAUGUCCUUUGUCAACGGCUGCAGUUUGGUGAUUUUUACUUCCUGUAUGAAAUCAAGACUUUGGGGUCUGUAUGCAGCCUUGAAUCACUCGGGGCCAUGCAUUGCUUGAUCUUCUGCAUGCCAAUCAUGGUCUUGUAGUGAAAAUACUGCAUCUUGAGGUCCCAGUAUAAAGGAAGUUAAAAUUAAAAGAAGAUCAACUUAGGAAUGUUGCCAUUAUUUCUGGGAAGUUUUAGCCUCCAUUGAAUUCCAGUCUUCCUGAGUUGGAGAAGUGUCUUGGUCCCACAUCUUGUGAGGCAAGUUUUUAAGCAUCCAAGUGUGUUAAUUUCUCUUCUCAUGUAAAAGGAUGAAGCUGGAUAUGUUUGAUUCAUUAUCACAAGUAUUCUUUGCAUAGCCUCCGUGUGCUUACAUUGUGUGAGUAACAAGGGUAGCGGGGGAAGAGGAGAGGAACAAAAAGAUCAUCAACCCAUUGAUGCAAUAAAUCAAGUAAUGCCACAUUUUCUGGAGUAACACAAUUAUUACAAGAGCCAAUCAUACAAGCCAGGUUAUCAUAUUCCUUUACUGAGUUUUUACUCUGGGAAACUUCACAUUGCCUUUAUUUCGAGCCACAUUUUAAAAGCUUUUUGAGAGGUAUGUCAAUACUGAUAUAAUUUUAAAAAGUAAUAGGUGACCGCUGAAAUGAAAAUGUUGGCAUGAACUUAGAACCCAUGUGUAAUUUUGACCUUGGUAGAAAAGAAUAGAUACAUGUAUAUAUACAGCUGAAUCACUUUGCUGUACACUUGAAACUAACACCACAUUGUUCAUCAAUUACACACCAAUA
Long non-coding RNA from Bubalus bubalis (water buffalo), 1265 nucleotides. RefSeq lists it as uncharacterized. NCBI's taxonomy places the organism in Eukaryota, Metazoa, Chordata, Mammalia, Artiodactyla, Bovidae. The record is from RefSeq and is a predicted model, not a curated record. The transcript has 3 exons.